RNAcentral lists this long non-coding RNA (1181 nucleotides) under Ricinus communis (castor bean). Its description in RNAcentral is "long non-coding RNA (RCOM_LNC001395)". The record is from RNAcentral. Lineage: Eukaryota; Viridiplantae; Streptophyta; Magnoliopsida; Malpighiales; Euphorbiaceae.
UCAUUCUUACUGCUAACACCAGCACUCCCACAAAUCGCCCACCACAAUUUCACCACCAGCGCCAUCACUGUCAUCGCUACGCACCCCCAAUGCAUCGUUGUCAUCACUACCCAUCACCAGUUUCUUUUGUAAAUUGGCUUGCUUAUAAAAAUUCUCCAACUAUUUUUUCUUUUUUCUUGCUGCAAAUUUUUAGAACCCUUUUAUAAAUCACUAACACAUUAUCAUCUCCAUAAGAAUUUAAUUCAAUUUUAAGAAGACAAAUAAAGUAAACAAAACUGUAAUUGGAAAAGGGUAAAAAUAUACAAAUAAAGAAAAGAACAAAGAUUUUAACUAAAUAACUCAUCAAUGUCAAUCUUGACACUUCACUAUCUUUAAAGAUAUCUCUGUUAGAUGGAGAAGAUCAAAUUGAAAUCCUCGGUGGGCCUUUUAUUUUCUUCUUGUUUUAUAGCCUUGCGUUGCAAAAAGAGUGAUUUAAUUGCUUCCCUUUAGAUAUAUUUUCCUUGAGACAAACAAAGCCUACAUUUAGCAUAAAGAGAUCGGUGCCCUUUAGCAUUCUUCUUGUCGCGUCAACUGCAAUACACAAAUGGGUUUUGCAAAGUAGAAACGGUGGUGGGGAGAGAAAGGGAAGAGGCUGAAUAAGAGAAGAAAAUGUCAAUGCUUGGAGUUUCUGAGUGUGAAGAAGAUUAAUGAUGAGGUGUUAAUGGUAGAGUUGUUGGUUGUUUCCAUCAACAACGACGCCAUGUUUGAAAGGUUCCAUCACUGUCGUCGCCGCCCACCAUUUUAAGCUCACCACCAGCCACCACCGCUUCCUGAAAUUGAAGUGCUAGUUUUUUUUGUUUUAGUGAGAAUUUCUUUUUUCUUUGUUUAUUGAUUUUAGGGUUCGUAAAGAAUUUAAUUUCAAUUUCAGUCUAAUUGUAAAGGAUUAAUUAACAGUGGUGGACACUGGUAAUGUUGGAAUUACUGAAAUCCAACGGACAGAACCCCAAAAAAAAAUAGCACUUUGAAAAGGUAAUCAAGGUAAGAAUCAAGCAUUUUUUAUUUUAAAAUUUUGUUUAAGUUUUAAUUUAAUAUAUUAGAUUUAUUUAUAUUAAAUAAAAUAAAAUAGUUUCAUUUAAAAAUAAAAGAAUGUAAAAAAUAUAAAUUUAAGAAAUUAAUUUUAAAAGUACUAAAAGUAAUAAAAU